RNAcentral lists this ribosomal RNA (323 nucleotides) under uncultured Euglyphida. RNAcentral describes it as "SSU rRNA". The stretch from base 61 to 323 matches the Rfam family "Eukaryotic small subunit ribosomal RNA", at positions 691 to 955 of the family's 1831-position model. The record is from RNAcentral. Lineage: Eukaryota; Cercozoa; Imbricatea; Euglyphida.
GAUUUCUGAUUGACCUCCCUGGCCCGCGGCUUUCUGGUCGUGAGUGCUGUGGAGAGUCUGUCAUCCUUCUAGAGAGCCAUGCCUGCUGUUCAUUCAGCUGGGCGUGUGCGAUCUAGAUCAUUUACUUUGAAAAAAUUAGAGUGUUUAAAGCAGGCUUAUGCUGUGAAUACAUUAGCAUGGAAUAAUAAUAUAGGACUUCGGUUCUAUUUUGUUGGUUCAUAGAAUUGAAGUAAUGAUUGAUAGGGAUAGUUGGGGGUGCUAGUAUUCAGCGGCCAGAGGUGAAAUUCUUGGAUUCGCUGAAGACUAACUUAUGCGAAAGCAUU